CUGGUCCGUUACUUUUUUAGACGUUGGUUGUUUUAGUUAGUGCUUUCCCGAGCGCGUGUCAUGCAUCGAUCACGGCCAUCCCCUCUCUUCGCCUCCAAGUCACAGGUUCGAUUUGGUUGGCACUGAUGGAGUCCUUGACCGUUUCUGAGGAUUCACUUGUGUAUAAGGACCAAGGAGUGGGGCUUUUGCACUCAGAUGAGGAGAGCAGCAUUGCAGAGCCUGAGAUGAAAAUGUGGGAUCCUACAACGCAAAAUAAGAACUGUAAUCUGAUGUUCACAGACCCCCCA
Molecule: long non-coding RNA, 287 nt
Filed under: Fukomys damarensis (Damara mole-rat)
Lineage: Eukaryota; Metazoa; Chordata; Mammalia; Rodentia; Bathyergidae
Description: lncRNA (ENSFDAG00000025123.1)
Source: RNAcentral